Molecule: unclassified non-coding RNA, 282 nt
Filed under: Agaricomycetes sp.
Lineage: Eukaryota; Fungi; Basidiomycota; Agaricomycetes
Description: partial contains 5.8S ribosomal RNA, internal transcribed spacer 2, and large subunit ribosomal RNA
Source: RNAcentral
CGCACCUUGCGCUCCUUGGUAUUCCUUGGAGCAUGCUUGUUUGAGCGUCGUGAAUUUCUCCAACCUAAGCGUUUUGCGCUUAGUGCGGGUCCAUGGGUUUGCAGGCCACCACACUUGCUCACCUUAAAUACAGUAUGCUGGACAACCAGUGAGUUGCUAAUUUCUUUGCUAACUUACGUCGGUGUUGUCCGCUUCUAACCCCACACACGACUGGCGACGAUCCGUCGUUGCCUGGUCUAUUAUUUUGACCUCAAAUCAAGUAGGACUACCCGCUGAACUUAA